RNAcentral lists this microRNA precursor (179 nucleotides) under Prunus dulcis (almond). RNAcentral describes it as "sRNA ncRNA". The record is from RNAcentral. Lineage: Eukaryota; Viridiplantae; Streptophyta; Magnoliopsida; Rosales; Rosaceae.
GCUGACCUGAAAUGGGAGAUAGGCCUCCCAGAGGCCAGUGGAGAUGGGUGGCUGGGAGGGAUCCUCAUCAUUUCUCUACAUUUUCUUAAUUGAAAACUAAGGAGGUGACAUAAUAGGGGCUCCCUCCCAUGCCACGCAUUUCUAUUGUUUCUGGGUUUCUCUCCCUUUUCCUUUCUUGC